UGGACCAGAUCAGCUCUGGAAGGAGCAGCAAGAAGUGGCUACCUAAGUGUUUUGGAGUGGCUGUGUGCAAAUCAACACUCAGGU
This 84-nucleotide non-coding RNA is filed under the name Heterosigma akashiwo. Lineage: Eukaryota; Raphidophyceae; Chattonellales; Chattonellaceae. The record is from RNAcentral.